GACGAACGCUGGCGGCGUGCUUAACACAUGCAAGUCGAACGGAAAGGCCCUGCUUUUGUGGGGUGCUCGAGUGGCGAACGGGUGAGUAACACGUGAGUAACCUGCCCUUGACUUUGGGAUAGCUUCAGGAAACUGGGGCUAAUACCGGAUAGGAGCUCCUGCUGCAUGGUGGGGGUUGGAAAGUUUCGGCGGUUGGGGAUGGACUCGCGGCUUAUCAGCUUGUUGGUGGGGUAGUGGCUUACCAAGGCUUUGACGGGUAGCCGGCCUGAGAGGGUGACCGGCCACAUUGGGACUGAGAUACGGCCCAGACUCCUACGGGAGGCAGCAGUGGGGAAUAUUGCACAAUGGGCGGAAGCCUGAUGCAGCAACGCCGCGUGCGGGAUGACGGCCUUCGGGUUGUAAACCGCUUCCGCCUGUGACGAAGCGUGAGUGACGGUAAUGGGUAAAGAAGCACCGGCUAACUACGUGCCAGCAGCCGCGGUGAUACGUAGGGUGCGAGCGUUGUCCGGAUUUAUUGGGCGUAAAGGGCUCGUAGGUGGUUGAUCGCGUCGGAAGUGUAAUCUUGGGGCUUAACCCUGAGCGUGCUUUCGAUACGGGUUGACUUGAGGAAGGUAGGGGAGAAUGGAAUUCCUGGUGGAGCGGUGGAAUGCGCAGAUAUCAGGAGGAACACCAGUGGCGAAGGCGGUUCUCUGGGCCUUUCCUGACGCUGAGGAGCGAAAGCGUGGGGAGCGAACAGGCUUAGAUACCCUGGUAGUCCACGCUGUAAACGGUGGGUACUAGGUGUGGGGUCCAUUCCACGGGUUCCGUGCCGUAGCUAACGCUUUAAGUACCCCGCCUGGGGAGUACGGCCGCAAGGCUAAAACUCAAAGGAAUUGACGGGGCUCCGCACAAGCGGCGGAGCAUGCGGAUUAAUUCGAUGCAACGCGUAGAACCUUACCUGGGUUUGACAUGGAUCGGGAGUGCUCAGAGAUGGGUGUGCCUCUUUUGGGGUCGGUUCACAGGUGGUGCAUGGCUGUCGUCAGCUCGUGUCGUGAGAUGUUGGGUUAAGUCCCGCAACGAGCGCAACCCUUGUUCACUGUUGCCAGCACGUUAUGGUGGGGACUCAGUGGAGACCGCCGGGGUCAACUCGGAGGAGGGUGGGGAUGACGUCAAGUCAUCAUGCCCCUUAUGUCCAGGGCUUCACGCAUGCUACAAUGGCUGGUACAGAGAGUGGCGAGCCUGUGAGGGUGAGCGAAUCUCGGAAAGCCGGUCUCAGUUCGGAUUGGGGUCUGCAACUCGACCUCAUGAAGUCGGAGUCGCUAGUAAUCGCAGAUCAGCAACGCUGCGGUGAAUACGUUCCCGGG
This 1343-nucleotide ribosomal RNA is filed under the name uncultured bacterium. RNAcentral describes it as "16S ribosomal RNA". It matches the Rfam family "Bacterial small subunit ribosomal RNA", at positions 28 to 1378 of the family's 1533-position model. The record is from RNAcentral.